GCGAAAGUAGCUCAGUUGGUAGAGCGCAACCUUGCCAAGGUUGAGGUCGCGAGUUCGAACCUCGUCUUUCGCUCCA
Molecule: transfer RNA, 76 nt
Filed under: Parapedobacter pyrenivorans
Lineage: Bacteria; Pseudomonadati; Bacteroidota; Sphingobacteriia; Sphingobacteriales; Sphingobacteriaceae
Also listed under: 23 other names
Description: tRNA-Gly
Rfam family: tRNA
About the family: Transfer RNA (tRNA) molecules are approximately 80 nucleotides in length. Their secondary structure includes four short double-helical elements and three loops (D, anti-codon, and T loops).
Source: RNAcentral